Molecule: unclassified non-coding RNA, 251 nt
Filed under: Hevea brasiliensis (rubber tree)
Lineage: Eukaryota; Viridiplantae; Streptophyta; Magnoliopsida; Malpighiales; Euphorbiaceae
Source: RNAcentral
CCCAUAUCCAACGGUGGUCAUAGUCACAACACAGAAAUAUAGAGCAUCAAGAAUUGGACUUGUUUUCUUCCCUUUGAGAUCACCUAUGGCAAAGUAAAAGCAUAAGGUGCCAACACCCAAAUAGACCGCCAAGAUCACAGCCACUUCCCUAAAACUGCUGUGGAGUUUCCCAAAAAUGGAUUCAGCACUAGGAGGUUUGCCGCCAAAUUCUGAUGAAACAAACUUGGCUAGAGGAGCACUUUUAAUAUUGA